RNAcentral lists this ribosomal RNA (450 nucleotides) under Shionodiscus sp. RCC5314. RNAcentral describes it as "SSU rRNA". It matches the Rfam family "Eukaryotic small subunit ribosomal RNA", at positions 634 to 1089 of the family's 1831-position model. The record is from RNAcentral. Lineage: Eukaryota; Bacillariophyta; Thalassiosirophyceae; Thalassiosirales; Thalassiosiraceae.
UUGGAUUUCUGGCAGGAGCGACCGGUCACACACUCUGUGUGUGAACUUGUGUUGUCUCUGGCCAUCCUUGGGGAGAUCCUGUUUGGCAUUAAGUUGUCGGGCAGGGGAUACCCAUCGUUUACUGUGAAAAAAUUAGAGUGUUUAAAGCAGGCUUAUGCCGUUGAAUAUAUUAGCAUGGAAUAAUAAGAUAGGACUUCGGAACUAUUUUGUUGGUUUGCGUUACGAAGUAAUGAUUAAUAGGGACAGUUGGGGGUAUUCGUAUUUCGUUGUCAGAGGUGAAAUUCUUGGAUUUCCGAAAGACGAACUACUGCGAAAGCAUUUACCAAGGAUGUUUUCAUUAAUCAAGAACGAAAGUUAGGGGAUCGAAGAUGAUUAGAUACCAUCGUAGUCUUAACCAUAAACUAUGCCGACUCAGGAUCCGCAGUUGUUUUUUGACUCUGUGGGCACUGU